RNAcentral lists this non-coding RNA (45 nucleotides) under Schistosoma margrebowiei. Lineage: Eukaryota; Metazoa; Platyhelminthes; Trematoda; Strigeidida; Schistosomatidae. The record is from RNAcentral.
AUUCAGCUGACGAAUCCCAAAAAAGACGAAACGCGCGUUCUGGAU